AUUGAACGCUGGCGGCAUGCUUUACACAUGCAAGUCGAACGGUAACAGGUUAAGCUGACGAGUGGCGAACGGGUGAGUAAUGCAUCGGAACGUGCCCGGUCGUGGGGGAUAACGCAGCGAAAGCUGCGCUAAUACCGCAUACGAUCUGAGGAUGAAAGCGGGGGACCGUAAGGCCUCGCGCGAUCGGAGCGGCCGAUGUCAGAUUAGGUAGUUGGUGGGGUAAAGGCGCACCAAGCCGACGAUCUGUAGCUGGUCUGAGAGGACGACAAGCCCCACUGGGACUGAGACACGGCCCAGACUCCUACGGGAGGCAGCAGUGGGGAAUUUUGGACAAUGGGCGAAAGCCUGAUCCAGCAAUGCCGCGUGCAGGAAGAAGGCCUUCGGGUUGUAAACUGCUUUUGUACGGAGCGAAAAGGCUCUCUCUAAUACAGGGGGCUCAUGACGGUACCGUAAGAAUAAGCACCGGCUAACUACGUGCCAGCCGCCGCCGUAA
Molecule: ribosomal RNA, 493 nt
Filed under: uncultured bacterium
Lineage: Bacteria
Description: partial 16S ribosomal RNA
Rfam family: Bacterial small subunit ribosomal RNA
Source: RNAcentral